GAUGAACGCUGGCGGCGUGCCUAAUACAUGCAAGUCGAGCGAACAGACGAGGAGCUUGCUCCUCUGACGUUAGCGGCGGACGGGUGAGUAACACGUGGAUAACCUACCUAUAAGACUGGGAUAACUUCGGGAAACCGGAGCUAAUACCGGAUAAUAUAUUGAACCGCAUGGUUCAAUAGUGAAAGACGGUUUUGCUGUCACUUAUAGAUGGAUCCGCGCCGCAUUAGCUAGUUGGUAAGGUAACGGCUUACCAAGGCAACGAUGCGUAGCCGACCUGAGAGGGUGAUCGGCCACACUGGAACUGAGACACGGUCCAGACUCCUACGGGAGGCAGCAGUAGGGAAUCUUCCGCAAUGGGCGAAAGCCUGACGGAGCAACGCCGAGUGAGUGAUGAAGGUCUUCGGAUCGUAAAACUCUGUUAUUAGGGAAGAACAAAUGUGUAAGUAACUAUGCACGUAUUGACGGUACCUAAUCAGAAAGCCACGGCUAACUACGUG
RNAcentral lists this ribosomal RNA (497 nucleotides) under uncultured bacterium. RNAcentral's name for it is "partial 16S ribosomal RNA". It matches the Rfam family "Bacterial small subunit ribosomal RNA", at positions 28 to 507 of the family's 1533-position model. The record is from RNAcentral.